CAGUCGCCGCGGGAAUACAGAGGGUGCGAGCGUUAAUCGGAUUUACUGGGCGUAAAGCGUGCGUAGGCGGCUUCUUAAGUCGGAUGUGAAAUCCCUGAGCUUAACUUAGGAAUUGCAUUCGAUACUGGGAAGCUAGAGUAUGGGAGAGGAUGGUAGAAUUCCAGGUGUAGCGGUGAAAUGCGUAGAGAUCUGGAGGAAUACCGAUGGCGAAGGCAGCCAUCUGGCCUAAUACUGACGCUGAGGUACGAAAGCAUGGGGAGCAAACAGGAUUAGAUACCCCUGUAGUCCCUGUCUCUUUACA
Molecule: ribosomal RNA, 301 nt
Filed under: uncultured bacterium
Lineage: Bacteria
Description: partial 16S ribosomal RNA
Rfam family: Bacterial small subunit ribosomal RNA
Source: RNAcentral